UGGUGUGGAGUGUGGAGAUGGCGUGCAGAAAUGGCACCUCAAAAGGGGAAGGAAAAGAAGGAAGAACAGGUUGUCAGCCUUGGACCUCAGGUGGCUGAAGGAGAGAACAUGUUUGGUGUCUGCCAUAUCUUUGCAUCCUUCAAUGACACUGAUCUUUCUGGCAAAGAAAUCAUCUGCCGUGUGACUGGUGGGAUGAAGGUGAAGGCAGACCGGGAUGAAUCCUCACCAUAUGCUGCUAUGUUGGCUGCCCAGGAUGUGGCCCAGAGGUGCGAGGAGCUGGGUAUCACUGCCCUACACAUCAAACUCUGGGCCACAGGAGGAAAUAGGACCAAGACCCCUGGACCUGGGGCCCAGCUGACUCUUAGAGCCCUUGCCUGUUCGGGUGUAAUAUCAGGCGGAUUGAGGACAUCACCCCCAUCCCCUCUGACAGCACCCACAGGCAGGGGGAUCGCCAUGGUAGUCAUCUGUGA
RNA transcript from Cebus imitator (Panamanian white-faced capuchin), 470 nucleotides. It is a transcript of the gene named 40S ribosomal protein S14-like, with no coding region annotated. The record is from RefSeq and is a predicted model, not a curated record. The transcript has a single exon. Lineage: Eukaryota; Metazoa; Chordata; Mammalia; Primates; Cebidae.